This 444-nucleotide ribosomal RNA is filed under the name uncultured bacterium. RNAcentral's name for it is "bacterial SSU rRNA". It matches the Rfam family "Bacterial small subunit ribosomal RNA", at positions 66 to 502 of the family's 1533-position model. The record is from RNAcentral.
GGGGCAGCGAGGAUUAGCAAUAAUUUGUCGGCGACCGGCGCACGGGUGAGUAACACGUAUGCAACCUACCUUCAACACGGGGAUAACCCGUUGAAAGACGGACUAAUAUCCGAUAAUACAGGGGCACCGCUUGGUGAUAUUUGUUAAAGAUUAAUCGGUUGAAGAUGGGCAUGCGUAUGAUUAGCUAGUUGGCGGGGUAACGGCCCACCAAGGCAACGAUCAUUAGGGGUUCUGAGAGGAAGGUCCCCCACACUGGUACUGAGACACGGACCAGACUCCUACGGGAGGCAGCAGUGAGGAAUAUUGGUCAAUGGGCGCGAGCCUGAACCAGCCAAGUCGCGUGAAGGAUGACGGUCCUAUGGAUUGUAAACUUCUUUUGUGCAGGAAUAAAGUGAGGAACGUGUUCCUUUUUGUAUGUACUGUACGAAUAAGCAUCGGCUAACU